Astatotilapia calliptera (eastern happy) is the source of this 1319-nucleotide long non-coding RNA. NCBI's taxonomy places the organism in Eukaryota, Metazoa, Chordata, Actinopteri, Cichliformes, Cichlidae. The record is from Ensembl.
GUUAAUACACUCUACUGAUCCCCGAUGGGAGAAUCAUCAAUUUUGGCAACAAAGAAGCCUGGUGGAUGUUUGUUUACAGUCUGAUGAUGGGACAUCAUGCUCUGCAUCUUCAAAGUUUGCCUCCUCAUUAUUAUUCAUACCCAGUAAUGUGAAGUAUGCUUAUAUCUACUAUAACUGAACCAACCUGGUGCUCUUCAUUUAUGGAGGCUGUUGAGUCUGAAUGUUGGAUGUUGUUUAUCUCGUGUUCUCUGGGCUUUGUUGUCCUCAGUCUUUUCGCAGGAUCAGAAAACAAAACCAGGAGGCGCGUAAAUGUUUCUUCUGCAUGAUGUUUCUUCAAAUGUUUCUUCUGGAUGAUGAUAAGACUGUGACACGGGAUGCCACCUUUGGUCUUGUGAUGAAGCAAAGCUCAGGAAGAAGUGGGAUUAAAUGGUACCCACAUGUGUGAAGCACUGAGAAGGAUGUACAGGGGCACCUGCAGCCAAAUCCAAGCCUCAGAGCAGCAGUUUGUGCUCACAGAUGGUGACGGUGUGGAGAGACGGUGGUGUUUCCUCAGAAGAACCAGCAGAGUCACAAAGGACACCAGUCCAUCUCACCACCUUGACUUGCUGACUGAUGUUCGUCUGCACUGCACAGAGGAAAUCAACUGACCGAGGAGUGUUUCUGAGUGAGGGGGAGAGGAGUCAUCAUCCAGGUAAAGUGACGUGGAUCAGUGGAUACACUUGUCUCCCCUUUAAAGGAGACGAUCCAAGUCAUCCUUAAAUGUUAGCGCUUUCAAAUACACAAACAUUUUUAAAGGACAAAAAUGAACAUCCAACUUUGACUGUAAUACAAAAUAAAUCUUUGCAUGUGUGUUUUCAAACUCUCAGAUGGGCAGCAUAUCAGUCUUGGACUGUCUAACCUGCAGCACUGAAUGACCACCGCACAUGAGCAUGUUCUGCAACAUUCAGCAUCUGAUCCUUCAUCUGUGUGCUUCUGCUUUUGUGUCACAUGUCAAACAGCUGGAGAGGAAACUACACCAGUGUACUGGGAUGUUUCAGCAACACGUGCCAGAUGCUGUUCCUUCAUGGUGACAUCACCAGAGACAGCCCCGCCCACCUCAGGACCUCACCAUUGAUCAUGAAGAUUAUAAUGAUGACAGCGAGCGGAACUAAGACUGUAAAAAUCCACGACCAGAAUUUUUCUUUCUAAUUAUUAAUGAAUACUGAGAGCCUCGUUCUGUGUUUUGUCUGUUUUGUUUUUUACCUCAUUUGUUUCUAACAAAGUUCACAAACUCACACAGUUUACAUUCUGUAUGUUUCCAUCUUUACCUGCCACACUCU